AUCCUUUUGUAGUUCAUAAGUGUGAUGAUUGGGUGUCCAUGCUCACGCGUGACAUGUGCCUCCCACAAACCUUGUUACGACAUCAGCACAUUAUCUGUCAGAUG
Phyllostomus discolor (pale spear-nosed bat) is the source of this 104-nucleotide small nucleolar RNA. RefSeq annotates it as small nucleolar RNA U13. NCBI's taxonomy places the organism in Eukaryota, Metazoa, Chordata, Mammalia, Chiroptera, Phyllostomidae. The transcript has a single exon. The record is from RefSeq and is a predicted model, not a curated record.